Hirundo rustica (Barn swallow) is the source of this 1114-nucleotide long non-coding RNA. RefSeq lists it as uncharacterized. NCBI's taxonomy places the organism in Eukaryota, Metazoa, Chordata, Aves, Passeriformes, Hirundinidae. The record is from RefSeq and is a predicted model, not a curated record. The transcript has 4 exons.
AGGAAAUUUGGACGUGGGACCGCUUACUCUCUGUAGAUGAUUCAUAUCUUAUAUCCUAGUUUGAAGUGGUUCACCACACUGUGGCCACAACUUCAAAAGUGUCAGAUGAUCAUCAGACAACACUCCUGCCUAGCAAAGAAAUGCAAACAUCCUUGCCACCAAGACUAGGUGGGGUAGCACUGAAGGAAUUAUUUCAUCAACUCCUGAAAUGCAAAACCCGUGGCAAAAGAGAAAAGACAGUCUUGUGAUUGCACCUCUGACCUAAAGGACAAGCUUUCUCCAAGUAUGAUUUCAUUCAGGUAGUGAGAGGAAGAGCUGGAUUAAGAAACAAAAAGAUUGGCCUUAGGCAAGCAGCUCUAAAUUAAGACUGGAUGGGAUUGGAAGGAGCUGAGGGUAUCAACCUCUUAUGUCCUGUAGCGCAAGAAUAUGGAGAAUGGAAAAAUGAACAUGCGAUGUACAAACCAGGCCAACGUUGUAAAGGUGUCACCACAGCCACCUAGGCUGGAACCUGUUGUCAUUUGGUCUAAUACUAAAGGUUCAUAAAGCAAGCCUUUCACAAAACUGAACUGUUUAUGACAGAUAUUGUCUGUGCAACUCAAAUGCCGCUGAUAGGACUUCCUUUCGUGAACUUCUCUGAUGCAUUUCAUCUCCUCAAGGCUAAUGAGAAUAGCCAUUACAAGUGUUCAGAACUGUCCUUGACCUAUGGCAAUGCCCACAUCUCAUAUGGUUUCAAUCUUCUUUGCACGUGGAUAUUCCCAGAAGAUUUUUGAAGUUGUUUUUUAACUUUUCAUUUAUCGUUCUUGGGGAAAUACGAAAGAAAUUGUGUGUAUGGUCUUUUCUUUUAUUACUUCUUAAAUAUUUUUCAUAUGUCCUUAACCUUGCACCUCAGCAGCAGACUAAACAUCAACUCAGUCACUAUUUAAUGCUGUUCUCAGAGAUGGGCUAAGAGGUAGAAUGAGCAGAUGUCCUAGUCAGACUGAAAAGUUGUUUGGUAUCUUGUUUCAUUUGCGAUGCUUCAGCAUGAGACAGGCGGAUUUCCAUUUUAAAUGUCCUUGCAAACGUUGUUGGUAAAUUCUAACAGUAAUAAAUAUGAUUAUUCUUCUUGAGUCUUAAA